RNAcentral lists this small RNA (128 nucleotides) under Escherichia coli. RNAcentral describes it as "partial (5' truncated) Short Intergenic Abundant RNA". It matches the Rfam family "Short Intergenic Abundant RNA", at positions 16 to 147 of the family's 147-position model. From Rfam's summary of the family: This family contains multiple ncRNA from E. coli that were identified in a large scale screen of E. coli, were they were called candidates 43,55 and 61. These RNAs have also been identified by other groups and called QUAD RNAs. The record is from RNAcentral. Lineage: Bacteria; Pseudomonadati; Pseudomonadota; Gammaproteobacteria; Enterobacterales; Enterobacteriaceae.
UGAAGGCAUACUUUCAGGAGUGAGGGUAGAGCGGGGUUUCCCCCGCCUUGGUAGUCUUAGUAUGCUGGGUAGCUAAUCACUAAGAGCACCACGAUGAUGACUAACUUCAUCAUGACCCUUUCCUUAUU